AAAAAUUCUCAUAAAUUAAUUUAGACUAUAUAUUAUUUUUAAUUUCUUACCCAGUAAACUAAUAAAUGAGUAGGUCAAUAACUUUAAUUUCCCAAACUUAGGUGGAUUAGACAUGUUAGGUUGAUAAACUAACUCUGUCACCUUUAUCUAUAUUUAUGUCUUUAAUAAUAUAUGAGAUUUGACUUCGUUAUAUAUAUCGAACAUCGAAUCGAAAAAAACUGGUUUAAGCUGAG
Molecule: unclassified non-coding RNA, 233 nt
Filed under: Hevea brasiliensis (rubber tree)
Lineage: Eukaryota; Viridiplantae; Streptophyta; Magnoliopsida; Malpighiales; Euphorbiaceae
Source: RNAcentral